Long non-coding RNA from Grus americana (Whooping crane), 2499 nucleotides. RefSeq lists it as uncharacterized. The transcript is spliced from 3 exons. Lineage: Eukaryota; Metazoa; Chordata; Aves; Gruiformes; Gruidae. The record is from RefSeq and is a predicted model, not a curated record.
GGCACCCGGGGCAGGGCUGCGAGCGGUUCCCCGUCGAUCUGCCGGGAGGUCCCGCUGCAGCCCAGCCUCUUGGCGAGAAGUUCAGACAAGCCACAUAGUCGGACGUUACAAGUGAAAUUCAGCAUCCAUACCAUAAGGAAGUGACCAACCUUGGGCUGGCGCACGUCUGAGACAGCUAAUUUUGGACCUUUGACUUAAAAUCACUCAUCUGGGUGGAGGAGCACAUGACCCAUCACCAGCGACGUCUGAAGGAGGGCGAACUGGCGCUGGGCACCAGGUAUCUGCUCCUGUCAAUACUCCGUCCUCUCAUUCUCAUCUCAAAUUAUGCCGGGAGAGCCUGAUGGACCACAGGAAGCCUUCUGCCGUUUCCGGACAGCAAGACGGAUUUGCAUCCCUGUGCCAGGUCGGCUCUAGCGUGGGCUGGACUUUGGGUAGGGUGGGUAAGAGCCAGCGCGCAGGGUCAGGCUGUGCGCUCAGGCACGGUCCCAGCUGACCGCCCGCGUGAGAAGGAAAAUAAAUGGUCAGAUUUUGGCUGGGACUUGUCCACUGAAGGGGAUAGGAGCUAUGCCAGUUUACACCCUCCGAGGGCUUGGCUGCUGGAGGCGGUUGGCACCAAAAUCCCAGUGAAAGGAUUUAGUGUCAUAAACACACGCAAAACUAUGGAAAGCCCCAGUCGUGGCUCCAAAGGGCGACAAGGGGUCUCCAGAGGAGACCUGCCCCUCCGGGGCUGCCUGACUCGGUUGGUGUUUCAUGCAGGAAUGAACCGACGGGUCUGUGCCCACGUGCGGCCGUGCUGGUGGCCAGGACAGCUCUCCAGCGGGGAGACACGCUGCUGGCACCCAGGGAGCCUUAGGGAAGGAGCUGCUGCUUCUGAUCGUCUCGUAACAGCCUGAGAUGUUGGAGCCAGCAGUUUCCUGGACAGAGACAGCUUCUCAGCGCAGUUCAAGGUACAAUAGGACCAACCCCGCGAGGUGCCUGCUCAGAGAGGGGUGUUCUCGUCCCAUGGUGUGGCAAUGGGACAGAGGAGAUUCCCUGGAGACCCAACUGGUUUCCAACCACCAUCUCCUUUCCGAGCAAAGCCUGCUCCGUGUGCUGGGUGGCUAAGAAGCAACUGUGCUGCUGCUGCGUCAGACUGUAUACUUUUGUGUCCUGGUGUAUAUUUAAGGAUAAUUUGCUCUCAGUAACACCCAGCAGUGCCAAUGACUUUAGGGUCAGCUCCUUUCCUCCCUAAUCCUGCUUUCUAUUUCCACAUACUUACGCAUGAGCAAGCCCUGGAGAUCCUGCAGCCAGCUGCCAGCAGAGAUGCUCAAAAUACAGUUUCAACACAAAAGGAGAUGUAGUUUUGGUACUUUAGCAAUGAUUGCCUCUGGCUACCUUUGGUCCAGGCUUAAAAUGGAGCAGACAAUAUUCUCUUUUUCCCUAAUGAUUUUCAUAUCCCCAUUUUGAGGUUGCAAGAAAUUUGGGGAAGCAUCAGACCAGCAUGUGCCAGUCCCACAGACAUGUCCUGGGACCAGCUUUUUGAAGCCUGUUUUGUUUUUUUUUUCCCCCCUUGCUGCAUUCAGCCUCUCUGGCCAAUGACUCAGUCACUAUUUCUAUUCUCUUCCCACUUCUGUUCCUGCUUCUCUAAAGUUUUGGUCAGUGGCAGCAGCUUUUGCUAAUGUCUUGUGGCUGCUUCUCUCUGAGUUAUUAUUGGAGAUGACUACGAAAUAACAGCGCUGCUCUUUAAGACGCUACUGCACCACUGCAGAAAAUAUUUACCAAAGAUGUGGUAAGCAGCUCUUUACUGGAGUGACUGGCGUCUGCUCUGAAGCGGACCAGACGCCAGUCACUUCAGCAAAGAGCUGCUGCAACAGAACAAAUUGCCCAGGGCAGCAGAUCUUGGGAAGGGAGAAAAGCCAGCAGCCCAGUCUGUCUGUCUUUGUGUUUUCUAAGGGAGAAAAAUUAUCUUUUUACAAGCCUGCCCUAGUUGGCUCUGACCAGCUCUUCCCAGAAAAUACCAUCGUAAAUAGAAGAGCAAACUGUUGCAUAAACGGACAGGUUGCCAUUUAUAUCUGACCUUUCUCAGAUCUGCUUUGAUGUCUUCAUCAACCUAUGCUUCCUUCUCAACCAGCCCCACCGCGUUUUUAGCUCCUGUUUCUAGGAGAGCUCCACUGGACACAACAAACCUCAAUUAAAAUCCAUUUUUGACAUAUACGUAUACUCCCUCUACUUUCUGGACCAGCUCCAAAUAGAAUAAUCCUUUUUUUAAUCCUGCCCUCCCAGGGAACUUCCAGUUUUGUGUUUGCAAAUUGUAUGGGUAAAUAUGGAUAGGGGUAGAUAUUUUUUUUUAAAGACACCGGGCUUGACAUGUUACGCGGUUUGUUGCCAGAUCAGCGCAGUGGCAGCGUGCAGCGCUGGACUGUUUUUCUUAUUCAGAUAGACCCUCUCCAGCUCAAAAAUGACAAUUCACCAACGCCAAGCCAAAAACAAAGUAAAGGGCAGUUUCAGAACUGGGUGUUA